Molecule: ribosomal RNA, 562 nt
Filed under: uncultured bacterium
Lineage: Bacteria
Description: partial 16S ribosomal RNA
Rfam family: Bacterial small subunit ribosomal RNA
Source: RNAcentral
UGGGGAAUAUUGGACAAUGGGGGCAACCCUGAUCCAGCCAUGCCGCGUGAGUGAUGAAGGCCUUCGGGUUGUAAAGCUCUUUUGGCGGGGACGAUGAUGACGGUACCCGCAGAAUAAGCCCCGGCUAACUUCGUGCCAGCAGCCGCGGUAAGACGGAGGGGGCUAGCGUUGUUCGGAAUUACUGGGCGUAAAGCGAGUGUAGGCGGUUGCCGUAGUCAGGUGUGAAAGCCUUGAGCUCAACUCAAGAAAUGCACUUGAUACUGGGUGACUAGAGGACCGGAGAGGAUAGUGGAAUUCCCAGUGUAGUGGUGAAAUACGUAGAGAUUGGGAAGAACACCAGUGGCGAAGGCGGCUAUCUGGACGGUUACUGACGCUAAGACUCGAAAGCGUGGGGAGCAAACAGGAUUAGAUACCCUGGUAGUCCACGCCGUAAACGAUGGGUGCUAGACGUUGGCGAGCUUGCUCGUCAGUGUCGCAGCUAACGCGUUAAGCACCCCGCCUGGGGAGUACGGCCGCAAGGUUGAAAACUCAAAAGGAAUUGACGGGGUCAUAGCUGUUUCCU